CCCAUUCUGGGAGGCCCUCGCCACCCUGCCACCCCUGUAUUCUCUGCUUUUCAUGUGGUAAUUCAUGGUUUAUUUCAGCAGAAAAACAAAACUCUGCCUGAGAAAAGCCUGCCCCACUUGGCCCUCGCUGUGCCUUAGACUGAAGCUGAAAUCCUGCUUGAUUUGGAUUUAUUUUCCGGAAUUAUCUGCGUGUGUGGCAGGGCUGUUUGGCAAUCUCCUGCCCUCUGCAGAUGCUCUGUUCUCCAGGCAGCACUGGGCUCCUGGAAGGAUGCUCCACAUCUCUGCAGGGCAGGAGAGCCUCUGAUGAAAGGGCUGCAAAUUGGGCCAGUCCCCGAGGGAAGCAAUUCCAGGGAUAAAAGCAGAUGCCUGCUUCGAAAAUCAACAGAAGAUAAUCACAAAGGUUGGAAAAGAUCUGUAAGACCAUCGAGUCCAAGCACAAAGCUGGCACUGCCACCAAGCCACGUCCCCAGGCACCACAUCUUCUAAACACCCCUGGAAUGAGCUGCUGCCAGCUCAUGUGCUGAGCUCAUUUCCAGCAGUGGGACAGCUCUGGUGCCCCUGGUUCCCGGGUUUCAGCUCUGAUGAAGGGCCUGUUCCUCUGCUCCUCACCCACAGCUGAGUUCUGGGCAGCAGCAGGCACUGUACAGCCAAGGGGAGCCUCGCUGAGGGGCUUUGCUGGGGCUGCUGCAGGGCGCCAGGGAGGCUCUGCCAGUGCUGGCCCAGCUUUUGGGGGAGGUACGUGAUGCCCAGCUGGGCUGGCAGGGCACUGGGGGCUCUGCCCUGCCCAGCUGGUUGUGUUUGAUCAGCACAGCCUGGCUGUCCCUAGGGCUGCUGGACACUUUGCUCUUGAGGCUCCCUCUCAUGGGGGCGUUGCUGAACCUGUCUCAGGUGAGGGGCAGAGUUUUCCCCUUGCUGCAGUCUGCCAGAAGAAUGCUCUGGAAUUCUGUGCCCAGGUUUGGCUCUGCCAUCCCUGCAAUGCUGUGUGCCCAGCUGGCUGCCCAUCCUGCUGGUUCAUUCCAUGACUUUUGUUCUGUCCAUUCCUGCCCAGUGGGAGAUGUGGGAAGUUUAAUUGAUGGCAGGUCCUUGAGGGCCCUGAACACGUGUGAUGGUGUGUGGUGCUGGCUGGGAUGAGUGUGUUUACAGCUUCUUUUUCUGUCCCUAAACUGCUGCCCCUUUGGUCACUUCUGAGUUCCAAACUGCACACAAACGAAGAGCUGGCUCCCCUGUUUGAUGUGCAGUAAGAUCAUGGAAUUGGGAAUGAGCCUUGCCUGUGAUGGUGCUGCUGCCAGUGCUGCCACCACUGAGAGGAGGCUCUCCUCUCUCGGAGCAGCCUGUACGUUCCUCAGGCCAUUGUAUACAUUUGCUGCCUUUGAUCAAUAAUUUAGGGUAAUCAUUUUGUUCUGUAAAAUUUCCCAAGUCCAUAUAUAUUGCAUGAAAUGCAGAAUAGCCAAUCCCAGAAUGGACUUUUAAAAGCUUUUCAUGAAAGGUUUGGUUUUUUGUUUUUAUUUUAAACUAUGAGGAGGGGAAAGAAGUGGGUCUAGAGACGUGAAUAAAUCUGUUUGUUUGGGGACUUUGAUUCCUGGAGAUUUAUUUUCUCAGUAGUGCUGGGUGGCACUGGGGCUGUCUCCAGCCCCUCAUGCCGGUGGAGCAGCUGAUUUCUGUUUUAUUUUGGCCUCCAGCCCUCGGUGCUGGGUGAGGAGAGGGGCUGGGCUCUGCCCUCCCUGUGCUCCUGCCUGCUGGAGGACAAAGGCUCAGCUAGAGGUGGGAAUCUCUGAGCAUCAGGUGGAGGUGAAAGAGAGAAGGAAAAGCACAACUUCACAGGCUUUCUAUUUUUUUGGAGUGGGGGGAGGUUGAUUUAUUGGCAGUGUUGACUAAGGUCAGAGAAAACAGGUGAGGAGCUGGAUCUGUGCUCUGAGAAGCCUCUGCAGUAGAGUCAGUCUGAGACUCUGCUUUAUUCAUGGAUUUGUUUAUU
Molecule: non-coding RNA, 1972 nt
Organism: Taeniopygia guttata (zebra finch)
Lineage: Eukaryota; Metazoa; Chordata; Aves; Passeriformes; Estrildidae
Source: RefSeq, a predicted model, not a curated record